Molecule: non-coding RNA, 22 nt
Filed under: Arabidopsis thaliana (thale cress)
Lineage: Eukaryota; Viridiplantae; Streptophyta; Magnoliopsida; Brassicales; Brassicaceae
Source: RNAcentral
CGCCCCAAGCCUUCUGGCCGAG